ACAGGAAGGCACAACAAUCUCUCCUAGAGGAAAAACUCAAUUUAAGACAAAUAACAUUUAGUUUUCUCCCUCUUAGCGAAUUAAAAUCCUUCAAAUAUUGUUACCAUGUGGUACACUAAUGAGUUGUAUUCUCAGUCUUAGACAUUUUGGGUAGUGCUUCAGAAAUAAAGACAAGCAGAAUGAACUGAAUUUCAAAUCAUACUCAAACAAAUUUUUUCUUCUCUUCUAAAAUUCUAAGACUA
This 242-nucleotide unclassified non-coding RNA is filed under the name Hevea brasiliensis (rubber tree). The record is from RNAcentral. Lineage: Eukaryota; Viridiplantae; Streptophyta; Magnoliopsida; Malpighiales; Euphorbiaceae.